This 1210-nucleotide ribosomal RNA is filed under the name Escherichia coli. RNAcentral's name for it is "partial 23S ribosomal RNA". It matches the Rfam family "Bacterial large subunit ribosomal RNA", at positions 398 to 1613 of the family's 2925-position model. The record is from RNAcentral. Lineage: Bacteria; Pseudomonadati; Pseudomonadota; Gammaproteobacteria; Enterobacterales; Enterobacteriaceae.
UGUGAGCUCGAUGAGUAGGGCGGGACACGUGGUAUCCUGUCUGAAUAUGGGGGGACCAUCCUCCAAGGCUAAAUACUCCUGACUGACCGAUAGUGAACCAGUACCGUGAGGGAAAGGCGAAAAGAACCCCGGCGAGGGGAGUGAAAAAGAACCUGAAACCGUGUACGUACAAGCAGUGGGAGCCUCUUAAUGGGGUGACUGCGUACCUUUUGUAUAAUGGGUCAGCGACUUAUAUUCUGUAGCAAGGUUAACCGAAUAGGGGAGCCGAAGGGAAACCGAGUCUUAACUGGGCGUUAAGUUGCAGGGUAUAGACCCGAAACCCGGUGAUCUAGCCAUGGGCAGGUUGAAGGUUGGGUAACACUAACUGGAGGACCGAACCGACUAAUGUUGAAAAAUUAGCGGAUGACUUGUGGCUGGGGGUGAAAGGCCAAUCAAACCGGGAGAUAGCUGGUUCUCCCCGAAAGCUAUUUAGGUAGCGCCUCGUGAAUUCAUCUCCGGGGGUAGAGCACUGUUUCGGCAAGGGGGUCAUCCCGACUUACCAACCCGAUGCAAACUGCGAAUACCGGAGAAUGUUAUCACGGGAGACACACGGCGGGUGCUAACGUCCGUCGUGAAGAGGGAAACAACCCAGACCGCCAGCUAAGGUCCCAAAGUCAUGGUUAAGUGGGAAACGAUGUGGGAAGGCCCAGACAGCCAGGAUGUUGGCUUAGAAGCAGCCAUCAUUUAAAGAAAGCGUAAUAGCUCACUGGUCGAGUCGGCCUGCGCGGAAGAUGUAACGGGGCUAAACCAUGCACCGAAGCUGCGGCAGCGACACUAUGUGUUGUUGGGUAGGGGAGCGUUCUGUAAGCCUGUGAAGGUGGCCUGUGAGGGUUGCUGGAGGUAUCAGAAGUGCGAAUGCUGACAUAAGUAACGAUAAAGCGGGUGAAAAGCCCGCUCGCCGGAAGACCAAGGGUUCCUGUCCAACGUUAAUCGGGGCAGGGUGAGUCGACCCCUAAGGCGAGGCCGAAAGGCGUAGUCGAUGGGAAACAGGUUAAUAUUCCUGUACUUGGUGUUACUGCGAAGGGGGGACGGAGAAGGCUAUGUUGGCCGGGCGACGGUUGUCCCGGUUUAAGCGUGUAGGCUGGUUUUCCAGGCAAAUCCGGAAAACCAAGGCUGAGGCGUGAUGACGAGGCACUACGGUGCUGAAGUGACAAAUGCCCUGCUUCCAGGA